CGCGCGGUUCUAUUUCGUUGGUUUCCGGGACCGCCGUAAUGAUUAAUAGGGACAGUCGGGGGCGUCAGUAUUCCGCGGUCAGAGGUGAAAUUCUUGGAUUCGCGGAAGACUAACUACUGCGAAGGCAUUCGCCAAGGAUGUUUUCAUUAAUCAGGAACGAAAGUCGGGGGAUCGAAAACGAUCAGAUACCGUUGUAGUCUCGACCGUAAACUAUGCCGACUAGGGAUCGGGCGAUGUUAUUACUUGACUCGCUCGGCACCUUGCGAGAAAUCAUUAGUGUUUGGGUUCCGGGGGGAGUACAAAGGCAACUUCGAAACUUAAAGAAAUUGACGGAAGGGCACCACAAGGGGUGGAGCCUGCGGCUUAAUUUGACUCAACACGGGGAAACUCACCAGGUCCAGA
This 402-nucleotide ribosomal RNA is filed under the name uncultured fungus. Its description in RNAcentral is "SSU rRNA". It matches the Rfam family "Eukaryotic small subunit ribosomal RNA", at positions 827 to 1228 of the family's 1831-position model. The record is from RNAcentral. Lineage: Eukaryota; Fungi.